This is a long non-coding RNA of Gambusia affinis (western mosquitofish), 285 nucleotides long. RefSeq lists it as uncharacterized. The transcript is spliced from 3 exons. The record is from RefSeq and is a predicted model, not a curated record. Lineage: Eukaryota; Metazoa; Chordata; Actinopteri; Cyprinodontiformes; Poeciliidae.
AUUAUUCUCCUUGGGUGAAGAUAAAGAGGGAUUUGAUGUAAAAUACAUCAAUUCAUUUAAAGGUCGGGGUGUGUUCAGCUGCCAGUGCUUUCAAAAAGGAGAUUUCCUUAUUGAGUGCAGAGGGGAAGUCAUAAGUAGGAAGGAACAAGAAAACCGAUUGAAAAUUUACCAUGAUGCACUCCAGGCUUUUAUGUUUGAUUUCAAGUUCAAUGGACAACAGCUUUGAUUUCCAAAGAUGAAUUGUGUCAGGCUGGUGAUGUGGAAACAUGCGGAUCCUGUUCAACC